This 428-nucleotide ribosomal RNA is filed under the name uncultured bacterium. RNAcentral's name for it is "partial 16S ribosomal RNA". It matches the Rfam family "Bacterial small subunit ribosomal RNA", at positions 354 to 796 of the family's 1533-position model. The record is from RNAcentral.
GUGGGGAAUAUUGUGCAAUGGGGGAAACCCUGACACAGCAACGCCGCGUGAAGGAAGAAGGUUUUCGGAUUGUAAACUUCUUUUGUCGAGGACGAAGAACGUGACGGUACUCGACGAAUAAGCCACGGCUAACUACGUGCCAGCAGCCGCGGUAAUACGUAGGUGGCAAGCGUUGUCCGGAUUUACUGGGUGUAAAGGGCGAGUAGGCGGGACUGCAAGUCAGAUGUGAAAUACCGGAGCUUAACUCCGGGGCUGCAUUUGAAACUGUGGUUCUUGAGUGAUGGAGAGGUAGGCGGAAGUCCCGGUGUAGCGGUGGAAUGCGUAGAUAUCGGGAGGAACACCAGUGGCGAAGGCGGCCUACUGGACAUUAACUGACGCUGAGGAGCGAAAGCGUGGGGAGCAAACAGGAUUAGAAACCCCUGUAGUCC